UACGAAGGUGGCAAGCGUUGUUCGGAUUUACUGGGCGUACAGGGAGCGUAGGCGGUUGGAUAAGCCCUCCGUGAAAUCUCCAGGCUUAACCUGGAAAGUGCAGAGGGGACUGUUCAGCUAGAGGAUGGGAGAGGAGCGCGGAAUUCCCGGUGUAGCGGUGAAAUGCGCAGAUAUCAGGAGGAACACCAAUGGCGAAGGCAGCUCGCUGGAACGGUACUGACGCUGAGGCGCGAAAGCGUGGGGAGCGAACAGG
This 253-nucleotide ribosomal RNA is filed under the name uncultured bacterium. Its description in RNAcentral is "partial 16S ribosomal RNA". It matches the Rfam family "Bacterial small subunit ribosomal RNA", at positions 524 to 776 of the family's 1533-position model. The record is from RNAcentral.